Molecule: ribosomal RNA, 377 nt
Filed under: uncultured organism
Description: partial 16S ribosomal RNA
Rfam family: Bacterial small subunit ribosomal RNA
Source: RNAcentral
GGGGGGAGCAAACGUUUGUUUCGGAAUUACUGGGCGUAAAGGGCGCGUAGGCGGCCCUGCAAGUGGUGUGUGAAAUGCCCUGGCUCAACCAGGGAACUGCGCACCAAACUGCAAGGCUUGAGGGCAGUAGAGGAAGCUGGAAUUCCUGGUGUAGCGGUGAAAUGCGUAGAUAUCAGGAGGAACACCGUUGGCGAAGGCGAGCUUCUGGGCUGUCCCUGACGCUGAGGCGCGAAAGCUGGGGGAGCGAACAGGGAUUAGAUACCCUGGUAGUCCCAGCUGUAAACGGUGAACACUAGGUGUGGGGGGGUGUCGACCCUUUCCGUGCCCGUAGCUAACGCAUUAAGUGUUCCGCCUGGGGGAGUACGGUCGCAAGGCUG